AUUGAACGCUGGCGGCAGGCCUAACACAUGCAAGUCGAGCGGCAGCGGGAGAAAGCUUGCUUUCUUGCCGGCGAGCGGCGGACGGGUGAGUAAGGUAUGGGGAUCUGGCCGAAGGCGGGGGAUAACCACUGGAAACGGUGGCUAAUACCGCAUAAUCUCUAAGGAGCAAAGUGGGGGACCUUCUGGCCUCACACCUUCGGAUGAACCCAUAUGAGAUUAGCUAGUAGGUGGGGUAAAGGCUCACCUAGGCGACGAUCUCUAGCUGGUCUGAGAGGAUGAUCAGCGACACUGGGACUGAGACACGGCCCAGACUCCUACGGGAGGCAGCAGUGGGGAAUAUUGCACAAUGGGCGCAAGCCUGAUGCAGCCAUGCCGCGUGUAUGAAGAAGGCCUUCGGGUUGUAAAGUACUUUCAGUCGUGAGGAAGGUGUUAAGGUUAAUAGUCUUAGCAAUUGACGUUAGCGACAGAAGAAGCACCGGCUAACUCCGUGCCAGCAGCCGCCGCCG
This 506-nucleotide ribosomal RNA is filed under the name uncultured bacterium. RNAcentral describes it as "partial 16S ribosomal RNA". It matches the Rfam family "Bacterial small subunit ribosomal RNA", at positions 30 to 523 of the family's 1533-position model. The record is from RNAcentral.